AUGGUCACCACGUACUCGGAGGGGCCCACGAAAGCCAGCAGGCGGCUGUCCCCACUAACCACCAGGGCAUUGGGGGUUGGGCGGGCAUCCCGGCACACCACGUUAGCUGCCGACAGCACGGGGGAACACGGUCAACUGGGCGCAGAGAGGGUACCCGCAGGAGACACGGGUCAGGACCCAAACCUGCCCCCAGCUGUGGGAAACACCCGCCCAGAGCCUGGCAGGUCACACAGCAACAGCCCACAAGACCCGCAAGCGAGAGCACCAGGUUACCCGGCUACUGCUGGGGCGGCUGGCGCUUCUCCAGGUGACCACCUGGCUGGCCCGAGUUAUAGCAGCCACAAGAGAAAACAGACAGAUGGCCUCGGGGGGUGCUCUGGGGUGGGCCGACCCCCACCUGGUGCUCAGGCCACACACCUGCUCCUGGAGCCGGCUGGCACAGACCCUCACGGACCUGCACUGACCUGGGGGCCGAGGAGUUCCAAAACCACCCUCACCCCGGAGCUCUGGGUAGCGAGCGAGCCCCACCCCGCAGGGACCCGACAAGGACACGGCUGGAGGGCCCAGUGGGGCCCGGGGGGCCUGACCUGUCACACGCAGGACGUGGCACCGGGUGGUAGAGCAGUGGUACUGGGCCAAGGUGCCCCGAGAGCAGGAGCUGAACAGGAAGCUGCCGUCGGGGCUGGCGGCCAGGCCGGUGACCGCUCCUUGGUGACGCCUGUAACACACGGGGACACCCACUGCCCAGACCUCUCACAGCCGGGCCUGGCCGAGUCCCCGGAGGGCAGCGGAGGGCCCCCCCACAGCACGUCAGCUUCCACCACGGGUGUCUUGGGGCUGGAACCCGCCGGGCACCCACCUGUGCCGUACCAGAACCCCAGCGUUCUCCAGGCUGAAGGAGCAGACGGCCCCGCUGGCAAAGCCACAGAAAAGAACUGGCUGCGUGGGGUGGAAGGCGAUGGCGCGCGGUGUCUCCUCGGGGGACCUCAGGUCAUACAGCUGGAGGGCGGGGCUCCGUGA
Molecule: long non-coding RNA, 1020 nt
Filed under: Panthera leo (lion)
Lineage: Eukaryota; Metazoa; Chordata; Mammalia; Carnivora; Felidae
Description: lncRNA (ENSPLOG00000016987.1)
Source: RNAcentral